CGAACAAAGGUUCGUGCCGUAAUAGCUUUUGCAACUAUAAAUUUCAAAUUUCCAUAUAUUUAUACUAUUUAACAUGGCGAACCCGUUUAAAAUAGUGGAGCCAAGGAAAUUUCAGACACAGAUCCAAUAGAAUUGGAUGAAGUGCCAAUCAAAUUGCUUAAGGAGUCAUCCCUGACUGGUGAAAAGUUAAACUCCGCUCCUCCAAAAAGAAGCUAGGUUGGUUUUUCAAAAAUGGACAGUGCAAUAGCAGAAGUUGACUGCAAUGCCCAAAAAUUCUGAUGGUUUUUUGUUAAUCUGUAUCAAACAAUAUUUAUCUUAUUUGGUUGCGAUGUAAAUAUCUCUCUAAUCUGAACUUCCUAAUAUUUUUUGCCUCUACAUAGACCAGCACUUGCCAAUUUUUUGUAUCCGAAUGCUGGUUGUGCUUGAAAGGUGGUUCCAAGUGCUAAAAUCGAACACAUGUCUGUAAUAUUUUUUUUUGUAUGUAAAUAAACAACUUUUAACCUUUUGUAUCUGCAUUGUACAAAUUAAACAUUUUCUUUAUAACCCUUUUGUGAGCUCUCUAUUUUUGAUGCUGUCAAUGUUUUGUCAUGCCAUUUCUACAUCUUCUCAGCAUGAUGUUGAGUAUAGUUUCCCACCUGCAGUCGUUUUGAAGUAAUGUUCGUCCAAACUAUGAUUUUGUCUCUGUAAUUAGAAGCUUCAUAUCGCUGUUUGGUUUCGUUCUUCUUCACUUUCAAGAACGAUCCGUGUUUGUUGAAGGUAAAUAAUCCGUUCAGCCAUUUUGUUUUCAAUGUAUCAAAUAUUUUACGUUGUUAAUUUUCUAUUACUUUUGUUAAUGCCUCUCUUUUUUUUUUUUCUAUUUUUUUCUUUUUUUCCCAGUUCUCUUUCGCUUUUGUUCAAUCCAUUGUCCUCAGUUGUAAUAUUUCAUUGCAUAAAUUUGAUCACCUGAUCUAUUGUCAAGCGAUAUCUUACGUUUUAACUGUUUUAACCAAUUUAAUCUUAAAUUGAUCAAUGUUAACCCCAACAUUUUAUUUUCAUUUUGUGCACAUUGCAUACAUGUCCACCCAAGUUUCUACCUUUCCUCCGUCUUUGCUUUCAUCGUCGGAGCAAAGCCGAUGUUUCUUAGCAGCCUCACCGCACCUUCAAAGAAUUCUCAA
Molecule: long non-coding RNA, 1154 nt
Organism: Pyrus x bretschneideri (Chinese white pear)
Lineage: Eukaryota; Viridiplantae; Streptophyta; Magnoliopsida; Rosales; Rosaceae
Exons: 3
Source: RefSeq, a predicted model, not a curated record